AUGAUUUACACGAUAAAUAACAUUUUACACGUUUUCAACCUAAAACUCUUGGAUUGUGGAACUAUUACAGAAAACACAUUUAGUUUAGAAUACCAUACACUUUGCAUUCUGAUAUUUUUUAGAAAACAAAUAUAUUCCAUAAUUUCUGUUACAGUAAGUUUCUCGAUUGGAACUUUUGCUAAUUGA
This is a non-coding RNA of Vicia faba (fava bean), 186 nucleotides long. Lineage: Eukaryota; Viridiplantae; Streptophyta; Magnoliopsida; Fabales; Fabaceae. The record is from the annotation of a GenBank genome assembly.